This 600-nucleotide ribosomal RNA is filed under the name uncultured bacterium. RNAcentral describes it as "bacterial SSU rRNA". It matches the Rfam family "Bacterial small subunit ribosomal RNA", at positions 711 to 1323 of the family's 1533-position model. The record is from RNAcentral.
GGCGGCGAAGGCGGUAACCUGGUCUGUUACUGACGCUCAGGCACGAAAGCGUGGGGAGCAAAUAGGAUUAGAUACCCUAGUAGUCCACGCCCUAAACGAUGAUUACUAAAUGUUGGGGAAACUCAGUGUUGUAGCUAACGCAAUAAGUAAUCCGCCUGGGGAGUAUGCACGCAAGUGUGAAACUUAAAGGAAUUGACGGGGCCCCGCACAAGCGGUGGAGUAUGCGGUUUAAUUCGACGCAACGCGAAGAACCUUACCAGGGCUUGACAUCCCCUGCAAAACUAUAGAGAUAUGGCAGAGGUUAUCAGGGUGACAGGUGGUGCAUGGUUGUCGUCAGCUCGUGUCGUGAGAUGUUGGGUUAAGUCCCGCAACGAGCGCAACCCUUGUCUUUAGUUACCAUCAUUUAGUUGGGGACUCUAGAGGGACUGCCGGUGAUAAACCGGAGGAAGGUGGGGAUGACGUCAAAUCAUCAUGCCCUUUAUGUCUUGGGCUACACGCGGACUACAAUGGCGUACACAACAAGAAGCAAUACAGCGAUGUGGAGCAAAACUUACAAAUUACGUCUCAGUUCGGAUCGAAGUCUGCAACCCGACUUCGUGA